Long non-coding RNA from Hylaeus volcanicus, 3306 nucleotides. RefSeq lists it as uncharacterized. The transcript has 3 exons. The record is from RefSeq and is a predicted model, not a curated record. Lineage: Eukaryota; Metazoa; Arthropoda; Insecta; Hymenoptera; Colletidae.
ACUCAUAUAGUUGGCAUAUACAUUGUAAUGUUCAUCAGAUUAAGACUCAUGUAGACAUAUACAUUGCAAUGUCCACCAGGUUGAGAAUUUAGAAGAUUAAUAAUUUAACGUAACAAAAUGUCGAGUAAAUAUUUUCACUCAAACUAUAGUUAAAACGGCAUAAUGUAAAGACACAGAGUUAAUUUCUAUACUUAAUAAAUUCAGUAUCUUUUUUCAAUAUUCUGUAAUACAAAUUUUACAGGGCAUAUUUUGAAAUAUAAAUAUUCAAGUAGUCAAUUCUGAACUGUCUAUCUUGUACAGUUUUCACGUAAAAAAUUCGCAAAUGAAUUUUCACGUGUCCAAUGUUCUUAAAUAUUUAAGAGAAAUGAUGUUACACAACAAUGUAUGCACAAUAUAAAAUUUCGACCACCACGACUAUAUACUAUAAUCAUCGAAGCUACCAAAAAUCGUCAUCAAACGAUUCCCCGUACUUCUCAACAAACUCCAUCAAAAUAUUUCAACAGUUUGAGAAAUUUUCGUGUACUUUCUCAGUUAGAACAAAACAACUCUCAACUUGGCUUUGCACAAAUUCAAUCGUCGUGUGUUUUGCCUUCGAAACCCGUCGAAAACUUUUCAGAAGUUCUACGAUUCUAAUCGAAUUCGUUAACAAAUGAAUGAAAACAUACACUGUACCAAUGUCGAAGGAAAAGAUGACUGGCUUGGAUAAACUAGCCCAAAGUACCCCAAGCGCAAUUAGCUCGAGCACUAAAUGGAGUAUGUUGUGGUCGAUUGAGGCAGUUGUUACGCUCGAAUUUUUAAUAAUACCGAGGACCCACGCAGAUUUUAUUGGGAGGUAAGAAAUAACUGCUUGAAAUAAGGAGAGGUUGUUUCAAAGGUUAUGGUAAUUUAAUUUUGAAGGUGGUUUAGGUUAGGUCUGUAAAAAUAGUGAAGAGAUGGCAAAUUUUUUUUAAAUAAAUGUCCAUGGGCGUAUCUUUCAAGAUAGAUAUUAGUUAAAAUUUUAUUUUAUUAAAAUAAAAUUAUAAAUAUUAUUUGUUUUAUUAAAUAAAACAAAUAAUAUAAACAAAUUUGUUUGAAAUAUUAAUUCUUUUUGUACAUAAAUAGUACAUACUCUUCUUUUUGUUAUUGUGUAUUAUUAUAUAUUCCUAAAGAAAUAGAAUUCGGAAAGCUGCGCACCGUUUUCAGCUUGAUACGCCCAUGGAUCAGUGUUACGUACAAUAAACAAUUAUCAAACUGUCCAUCAUACAAAUUUUCAUUACUGGACUUUAUUAAUACUGUCAGAGUGUCUCAGAAUGUACAGCAGGUUUUGAAAUUUUGAUUUGUUUAUGAAUACCCGCAACAUGUUACAUUUUCGAAAAGAAAAAUCAAGCGAACUUGCUUUUCAGCGUGUGGCGAGCACGUGAACUAAUAGCGCUAGUAGGUAGAGAAUAACGUUGCUCAAGCCUGAUUGGUCGCCGGCAUUUUUCAGCUAAUUUAGAGGUUUAUUCUUGUAAGUAAAACAAGUCAUAACACUCGAAGCUUUUGGGCCACGGAAUUUUAGUAGUUCUAAUAUAAAUUAUCAAAAAUUACGACACAUCGUAAUGCGUUCAAAAGUCUCGAGUAUAAAUGAGUAAUUUUAGGUUAUGGUUAGCCUAGUGGCUAGAACGUUUAAUUCACUCUCUUAUAUAAUGCAAAUUAUUAGUGUAAAUUUAUAUAAAUAUAGAAAGCAUAUAUCCAUAACCUGGAAAAAAUGUUUAAACAGAAUGAGAAAUGAUUUAAAAAUACUAUGAAGCGAGUGAAGCGCAGAAUAUACUUUCUGAGACACCCUAACCGCACUUGUAUUAAAUAUUACAGUGUUAAAAGUUACGAAUUAAACAUAGUCACGUGUUGUGAGCGUUCUGUUUUGACAAAAUGAAAGGAUAACACGAAGGGAAAGAAACGAGAGGACAUGUAUUUGGUGGAAUUUGUGGCAACCAGCGCCAUCUUAACAAAAGUCUUGAAAUGAAUAGCGGACGCCAUCUUUGCAAAAGACUUUCACUUGAUGACGGGAAGAGUGUGCUUCCAUGGGCAAAAUUUUAUUCUAGCUUCUAUUCGAUUCGCGCGAAAUUUCAUUUCUAAUUAUACAUUUGAACGAAGAACAAAUCAGACUGAUUAUCUUUUAAGUGUCGAAUUUUUCUUUCUCUAGAUAAGGAUUUUGCUCAUCUUUAUACUUUGGAAAGAAACGAGAGGACUUGUGUUUACUGGAAUUUGUGGCAAGCAGCGCCAUCUUAACGAAAGUCUUGAAAUCAUAGCGGACGCCAUCUUUACAAUAGACUUUCACUCGAUGACUGGAAGAGUGUGCUUACAUGGGCAAAAUUUUAUUCUAGCUUUCUAUUCGAUUGAUAAGAAUUUUGCUCAUCUUUGUACCUUGGAAAAAGUAACCAAACUUUGUCCAAUGGUAACCAAACGUGAAAUAAUGAGGCUCUACUCUUUUCAAAAUCCUCAGGAUUGUUUAGGUGAUCACCAAGAAGGAUCCUUUGUCCUUCUCAAGGUCAAAGCGGUACUCAAGCUUCUGAUCCCGUUCGGAGAACUCUACGAAAAUUGAUGCACAAUAAAAAAUAGAAAAAUAAAUACAGAGGACGUGGUUCCAAAAAGCAGAUCUAUACUUAUAUCUAUAUUAUUAAUUACCAAGCUACGCAAAAACAAAGAAAAAUAAAAUACAGGUGUCUAAUACCUUGCCUAAUACUAAAAUGGAAUGUUUGUUUAGGAAUUGAUCAGGAAUGGUUUUGUUCGACAUUUCGUCCAUGCUGAAAGGGAUCGAAAGAUAGAAGAUCGCCGUUUUGCAUUAAUAAUAGAAAAAAAACAAAUAUGUUUAUGCACGAGCCCUUCAUUAUGAGAGUGGUCCAAAUUUAUUUUACUCUGACGACGAAAAAAAGGUUUAUAAAGUAUUAACUAAAAAAUUAUUUAAUUAGAUUCUUUUUGGUAUCGCAAACGUAGAACCAUAAUGUUGCAAAAAUAUAUACCCUUUUUUAUUCGUCAACUAAACGCAACAGGUUCAUAAAAAAAUACUGCUUCCUUGACAAUUAAACAUUUUUACUUGAACUUUGUACAUUGUUUAUAGAACUUUCAAAAUCAAUUCAAUUUUCUAAUAAAAUGAGCUCGUGCCAUUUUCAUAAUGAACAGGCUUAUGAUACAGUAAACGCUUUCGAUUCUCAUGCUUGAAAAUAUUGUUAUAAAAAUUGGAUUUUUCAUUUAAACCACAAAUUGAUUCCCCCAAUUCAUUUGCGACGUGUUAAUUAAAAAGAACUUGUUUACUUCUGUCUAGAAUAAAAGUAAUUAAAUAGAUCUACG